UACGUAGGGUGCGAGCGUUGUCCGGAAUUACUGGGCGUAAAGAGCUCGUAGGUGGUUUGUCGCGUUGUUCGUGAAAACUCACGGCUUAACUGUGAGCGUGCGGGCGAUACGGGCAGACUGGAGUACUGCAGGGGAGACUGGAAUUCCUGGUGUAGCGGUGGAAUGCGCAGAUAUCAGGAGGAACACCGGUGGCGAAGGCGGGUCUCUGGGCCACUACUGACGCUGAGAAGCGAAAGCAUGGGGAGCGAACAGG
RNAcentral lists this ribosomal RNA (253 nucleotides) under uncultured bacterium. RNAcentral's name for it is "partial 16S ribosomal RNA". It matches the Rfam family "Bacterial small subunit ribosomal RNA", at positions 524 to 776 of the family's 1533-position model. The record is from RNAcentral.